RNAcentral lists this ribosomal RNA (253 nucleotides) under uncultured bacterium. Its description in RNAcentral is "partial 16S ribosomal RNA". It matches the Rfam family "Bacterial small subunit ribosomal RNA", at positions 524 to 776 of the family's 1533-position model. The record is from RNAcentral.
GACGUAGGGCGCGAGCGUUGUCCGGAUUUAUUGGGCGUAAAGAGCUCGUAGGCGGUCUGUCACGUCGGCUGUGAAAACCCGAGGCUCAACCUCGGGCCUGCAGUCGAUACGGGCAGACUAGAGUUCGGUAGGGGAGACUGGAAUUCCUGGUGUAGCGGUGAAAUGCGCAGAUAUCAGGAGGAACACCGGUGGCGAAGGCGGGUCUCUGGGCCGAUACUGACGCUGAGGAGCGAAAGCGUGGGGAGCGAACAGG